CUUCCUACCGCUUGGCUGACUUGGGGUAAUUUAACUCCUUCUCUGCUAUAACACUUCUAUCUCAGUGUAUUGGCUUUAUCUGUGUAAUGGACAAGAAGAACUCUUUUGACUGUAACAAAGGUGAGCUCUGAUAUAGUGCUUUAGUGCACGGACUCAGAAAGUGGAUGAGAUGCUCCCAACUACUCUUCCAGGCAGCGUCCCUACCCCAUUUAUCAGGUGAAGCCUCUCCAUUAGAGUACCUUGCAGAGACUUCCCCGGGGCUAAACGCAGAGCUGGCAUUGAGGUAGGCUGACUUUAAAGACCAUGCUCUUUUCACUACGUGUUGUUCCUU
RNAcentral lists this long non-coding RNA (331 nucleotides) under Homo sapiens (human). RNAcentral describes it as "HSALNT0300793". Lineage: Eukaryota; Metazoa; Chordata; Mammalia; Primates; Hominidae. The record is from RNAcentral.